Alosa alosa (allis shad) is the source of this 721-nucleotide long non-coding RNA. RefSeq lists it as uncharacterized. The transcript has 3 exons. NCBI's taxonomy places the organism in Eukaryota, Metazoa, Chordata, Actinopteri, Clupeiformes, Clupeidae. The record is from RefSeq and is a predicted model, not a curated record.
GGCAGCAAAACAGUUGCUUAUGUUCCUCUCCUGCAAAUGCUUCAAAAAUUGCUUGGUAGGCAAGACAUUUUACAGAAGGCUAUGUCAAAGCCAGCUCAUGUCCCAGAUGAGUACAAUACUUGUAGAGAUGGCAGGUGCUUCAGAGGAAAUGACCUUCUGUGUAGUGAUGAGUUUACAAUUGCCCUGACCCUGUAUAUAGAUGAUUUUGAGGUUGCUAAUCCAUUAGGGACAUCAAGGGGGAAGCAUAAGAUGUGUGCGAUAUACUGGACCAUUGCGAACAUACCAGCAAAAUACAGAUCGACACUUAAUUCAAUUCAGCUGGCACUUUUGUGCAAUACAACAACAGUUAAAGAGUAUGGCUAUGACAAAGUACUGUACCCACUCAUUUGUGAUUUAGUCUCUCUUGAGCAACAAGGUGUUUACAUUGAGCACCUUGGUGCAUGUGUCAAAGGAACUGUGUUGUUUGUGUCUGCAGAUAACUUGGGUGCACACUCUCUUGCAGGCUUUUUUGAGAGCUUCUCAGUGGAAAAAUUCUGCAGAUUCUGUAUGGCAUCCAGGACUGACACUCAACUCCAACAGACUUGGUGGCAAAGAAGUACUUCACUCUAGAUGUACUGAAUGCGGCUAUCCGAUCUUUUCCAUACUCAUUCACAGACAAAACUGAUCGGCCACAACAGAUUGAUGGCCUCCCAAACAAUGACUAUGCGUGUUAUCCUCUGCG